This is a long non-coding RNA of Coregonus clupeaformis (lake whitefish), 287 nucleotides long. RefSeq lists it as uncharacterized. NCBI's taxonomy places the organism in Eukaryota, Metazoa, Chordata, Actinopteri, Salmoniformes, Salmonidae. The transcript has 3 exons. The record is from RefSeq and is a predicted model, not a curated record.
AAUAGAAGCAAACCUAUCAGCAACCUAUUGACCUGAGUGACACCCAUAAGUCUAGAUACUUAAACUCAUCAGGUGGAAAUUAAGGAACUUACUGUCCUUUUUCAUCUCUUUGUUUCCCCAACUGACUUGAAGAACCAGUGAGAAGACAACACACAACGUCCUACAGUAUGCUGAACACACAGACUCGACUGGCAAACAGAAGGCAAUGAUGUAGUUUCAAAACAGCCAAUUCAAAUGGACAGAAAAAACGUUAUCAUCCCAACAUGAUGGAUAACAGCCGGGCCAGC